RNAcentral lists this ribosomal RNA (524 nucleotides) under Rhodococcus sp. AQ5NOL 2. RNAcentral describes it as "bacterial SSU rRNA". It matches the Rfam family "Bacterial small subunit ribosomal RNA", at positions 74 to 611 of the family's 1533-position model. Lineage: Bacteria; Bacillati; Actinomycetota; Actinomycetes; Mycobacteriales; Nocardiaceae. The record is from RNAcentral.
CCGUCUCGUCAUGGGUGGAUAUGGCGACGGGUGAGUAACACGUGGGUGAUCUGCCCUGCACUUCGGGAUAAGCCUGGGAAACUGGGUCUAAUACCGGAUAGGACCUCGGGAUGCAUGUUCCGGGGUGGAAAGGUUUUCCGGUGCAGGAUGGGCCCGCGGCCUAUCAGCUUGUUGGUGGGGUAACGGCCCACCAAGGCGACGACGGGUAGCCGGCCUGAGAGGGCGACCGGCCACACUGGGACUGAGACACGGCCCAGACUCCUACGGGAGGCAGCAGUGGGGAAUAUUGCACAAUGGGCGCAAGCCUGAUGCAGCGACGCCGCGUGAGGGAUGACGGCCUUCGGGUUGUAAACCUCUUUCAGUACCGACGAAGCGCAAGUGACGGUAGGUACAGAAGAAGCACCGUCCAAAUUAAUUCCCAGCAUCCGCGGUAAUUGUAGGGGUGCGAGCAAUUGUCUGGAGUUAUUGGGCGUAAAGAGCUCGUCGGCAGGUGUGUCGCGUAGUCUGUGAAAACCCGCAGCUCA